Molecule: ribosomal RNA, 119 nt
Organism: Scophthalmus maximus (turbot)
Lineage: Eukaryota; Metazoa; Chordata; Actinopteri; Pleuronectiformes; Scophthalmidae
Source: Ensembl
GCUUACGGCCACACCGCCUGGUUCACACCCGAUCUCGUUUGAUCUCGGAAGCUAAGAUAUGUUGGGCCUGGUUAGUACUUGGAUGGGAGACUGCCUAGGAAUACCAGGUGCUGUAAGCU